Molecule: ribosomal RNA, 989 nt
Filed under: uncultured bacterium
Lineage: Bacteria
Description: bacterial SSU rRNA
Rfam family: Bacterial small subunit ribosomal RNA
Source: RNAcentral
CACGUGUGGGAGCUGUAUGUACGUAUGAAUAAGCAUCGGCUAACUCCGUGCCAGCAGCCGCGGUAAUACGGAGGAUGCGAGCGUUAUCCGGGAUUUAUUGGGUUUAAAGGGAGCGUAGACGGGAUGUUAAGUCAGUUGUGAAAGGCUGCGGCUCAACCGCAGCACUGCAGUUGAUACUGGUGUCCUUGAGUGCGGUUGAGGUGUAUGGAAUUCGUGGUGUAGCGGUGAAAUGCUUAGAUAUCACGAAGAACUCCGAUUGCGAAGGCAGUACACUAAGCCGUAACUGACGUUGAGGCUCGAAAGUGUGGGUAUCAAACAGGAUUAGAUACCCUGGUAGUCCACACGGUAAACGAUGAAUACUCGCUGUUGGCGAUAUACGGUCAGCGGCCAAGCGAAAGCAUUAAGUAUUCCACCUGGGGAGUACGCCGGCAACGGUGAAACUCAAAGGAAUUGACGGGGGCCCGCACAAGCGGAGGAACAUGUGGUCUAAUUCGAUGAUACGCGAGGAACCUUACCCGGGCUUAAAUUGCGCUGGACAGAUUGGGAGACCAAUCCUUCUUCGGACCAGUGUGAAGGUGCUGCAUGGUUGUCGUCAGCUCGUGCCGUGAGGUGUCGGCUUAAGUGCCAUAACGAGCGCAACCCUUGCCAUUAGUUACUAACAGGUGAUGCUGAGGACUCUAGUGGGACUGCCAUCGUAAGAUGUGAGGAAGGUGGGGAUGACGUCAAAUCAGCACGGCCCUUACGUCCGGGGCUACACACGUGUUACAAUGGGAGGUACAGAAGGCUGCUACCCGGCGACGGGAUGCCAAUCCCCAAAACCUCUCUCAGCUCGGAUUGGAGUCUGCAACCCGACUCCAUGAAGCUGGAUUCGCUAGUAAUCGCGCAUCAGCCACGGCGCGGUGAAUACGUUCCCGGGCCUUGUACACACCGCCCGUCAAGCCAUGAAAGCCGGGGGUACCUGAAGUGCGUGACCGCAAGGAGCGCCCUAG